This 175-nucleotide ribosomal RNA is filed under the name uncultured bacterium. Its description in RNAcentral is "partial 16S ribosomal RNA". It matches the Rfam family "Bacterial small subunit ribosomal RNA", at positions 335 to 526 of the family's 1533-position model. The record is from RNAcentral.
CCUCCGUACGGAGGCAGCAGUGGGGAAUUUUGCGCAAUGGGGGAAACCCUGACGCAGCAACGCCGCGUGGAGGAUGGAGUCCCUUGGGACGUAAACUCCUUUCGAUCGGGGACGAUAAUGACGGUACCGGAAGAAGAAGCCCCGGCUAACUUCGUGCCAGCAGCCGCGGUAAUAC